RNAcentral lists this ribosomal RNA (915 nucleotides) under uncultured bacterium. RNAcentral describes it as "bacterial SSU rRNA". It matches the Rfam family "Bacterial small subunit ribosomal RNA", at positions 1 to 917 of the family's 1533-position model. The record is from RNAcentral.
UAGAGUUUGAUCCUGGCUCAGAUUGAACGCUGGCGGCAGGCUUAACACAUGCAAGUCGAGCGGAGAUGAGGUGCUUGCACCUUAUCUUAGCGGCGGACGGGUGAGUAAUGCUUAGGAAUCUGCCUAUUAGUGGGGGACAACAUUCCGAAAGGAAUGCUAAUACCGCAUACGUCCUACGGGAGAAAGCAGGGGAUCUUCGGACCUUGCGCUAAUAGAUGAGCCUAAGUCGGAUUAGCUAGUUGGUGGGGUAAAGGCCUACCAAGGCGACGAUCUGUAGCGGGUCUGAGAGGAUGAUCCGCCACACUGGGACUGAGACACGGCCCAGACUCCUACGGGAGGCAGCAGUGGGGAAUAUUGGACAAUGGGGGGAACCCUGAUCCAGCCAUGCCGCGUGUGUGAAGAAGGCCUUAUGGUUGUAAAGCACUUUAAGCGAGGAGGAGGCUACUGAGACUAAUACUCUUGGAUAGUGGACGUUACUCGCAGAAUAAGCACCGGCUAACUCUGUGCCAGCAGCCGCGGUAAUACAGAGGGUGCGAGCGUUAAUCGGAUUUACUGGGCGUAAAGCGUGCGUAGGCGGCUUUUUAAGUCGGAUGUGAAAUCCCCGAGCUUAACUUGGGAAUUGCAUUCGAUACUGGGAAGCUAGAGUAUGGGAGAGGAUGGUAGAAUUCCAGGUGUAGCGGUGAAAUGCGUAGAGAUCUGGAGGAAUACCGAUGGCGAAGGCAGCCAUCUGGCCUAAUACUGACGCUGAGGUACGAAAGCAUGGGGAGCAAACAGGAUUAGAUACCCUGGUAGUCCAUGCCGUAAACGAUGUCUACUAGCCGUUGGGGCCUUUGAGGCUUUAGUGGCGCAGCUAACGCGAUAAGUAGACCGCCUGGGGAGUACGGUCGCAAGACUAAAACUCAAUGAAUUGACGGG